Long non-coding RNA from Gallus gallus (chicken), 1011 nucleotides. RefSeq lists it as uncharacterized. The record is from RefSeq and is a predicted model, not a curated record. NCBI's taxonomy places the organism in Eukaryota, Metazoa, Chordata, Aves, Galliformes, Phasianidae. The transcript has 2 exons.
AGGGAGGGGAACCACCAGGGAGGGAACCCCUCACACCCCACCAGUGGCCAGGUGUCCUUUCCCAGCCCCCAGCCCUGGCAUCCUUCACAUACAGGCACGCAGCAUCUUCCUAUAGAGUCAGAACGCACAAAGCAGGGAGGAUCUCCGUGGGAUGUCAGGACCUUGACACGGUGUCCUUUCUGGUGACAAACGCUACGCCCUGAACGCCACUCUGUCAACAUUUACGCAUGUGCUCAGAUCUACCACGUGUAAAUAAUCCCAUUCAGGUCAGCAAAGCUAACCACACAUAUAAAGUUAAGCAUGUGUGAAAGUGUCUGAAGAACCGAGGCCAACGAUUGCAAAACAGUUGAAGCUGUAAUCCUCCAUUCUCAUUAGUCCCAACCUUCUCCAAAAACUUCCACUGUGGGCUUGAAAUCCUCCCCGUCUCAUUGAGCCAAAGGUGAUUUUUUUCUCCCCAGGAAGUCCCAAACCCUUCCAGCUGUUUUCAAGCUGUCGGGCUCCUAAAUUGCAUUUCUCAGUGAGGACAUCCUGCCCUUUUCACUCAGAUAGCUCAGAAUCCAUUGUGUGAACAAAUCUGCUUAUCUUCCUUGCUGCACAUCCAGACCUUCAGACAGCUCCGUCCAGCUUUCACUAAUGAAUGGAUGAACCCUCCCAACUUAUCCAGAAGACUCCGGGAGCUUUCCUUGCCCUGCAGAAGCUCUGCAUGGAGGAGACAAGGCAGGAUGGGACAUGUGGUGAGAACCCAGCGCACCUCCAGCACGAUGAGCCCAGUCCUGGGGUUCGAGCUGGGCGCUUCAAGGAGGGGAAGGGAGAAUCCCAACAAUGGGGAAUUCUUCAUUGAGUGCUUCCAUGUCAGGGGCUGACGUGAGGUGCAUUUCUUGCUUGCGUGGUCCAGGUGUGACCGUCACCUGCCCGCUUCUCCUUGGAGUCCUGUCAGUGAGUGGGAAGGUCAAGGGAAGCUCCUCCUCUGCUAACAAGGGCUAUCUGAAAUUAAAGCACAGAACUCAUUAC